UAGGGAAUCUUCCGCAAUGGGCGAAAGCCUGACGGAGCAACGCCGCGUGAGUGAUGAAGGUCUUCGGAUCGUAAAACUCUGUUACUAGGGUAGAACAAAUGUGUAAGUAACUAUGCACGUCUUGACGGUACCUAAUCAGAAAGCCACGGCUAACUACGUGCCAGCAGCCGCGGUAAUACGUAGGUGGCAAGCGUUAUCCGGAAUUAUUGGGCGUAAAGCGCGCGUAGGCGGUUUUUUAAGUCUGAUGUGAAAGCCCACGGCUCAACCGUGGAGGGUCAUUGGAAACUGGAAAACUUGAGGGCAGAAGAGGAAAGUGGAAUUCCAUGUGUAGCGGUGAAAUGCGCAGAGAUAUGGAGGAACACCAGUGGCGAAGGCGACUUUCUGGUCUGUAACUGACGCUGAUGUGCGAAAGCGGGGGGAUCAAACAGG
Molecule: ribosomal RNA, 429 nt
Filed under: Actinomycetes bacterium
Lineage: Bacteria; Bacillati; Actinomycetota; Actinomycetes
Description: Actinobacteria bacterium partial 16S ribosomal RNA
Rfam family: Bacterial small subunit ribosomal RNA
Source: RNAcentral